UCCGAGUUGUAAUUUGUAGAGGAUGUUUCGGGUACCGCCUCGGUUUAAAUUUCUUGGAACAGAAUGUCAAAGAGGGUGAGAAUCCCGUCUUGGACCGGUGGUAGGGCCUAUGUGAAACUCCUUCGACGAGUCGAGUUGUUUGGGAAUGCAGCUCAAAAUGGGUGGUAAAUUUCAUCUAAAGCUAAAUAUUGGCCAGAGACCGAUAGCGCACAAGUAGAGUGAUCGAAAGAUGAAAAGCACUUUGAAAAGAGAGUUAAACAGUAUGUGAAAUUGUUGAAAGGGAAGCGCUUGCAACCAGACUUGAGCGCGGCGGUUCCCCCUUGCUUCUGCUUGGGUUACUCCGCCGUGUCCAGGCCAACAUCGGUUCUGGGGGUCGGUCAAAGGCCUUGGGAAUGUAUCUACCUACGGGUAGACUUAUAGACCAGGGUGUCAUGCGACCUCCCGGGACCGAGGAACGCGCUUCGGCUCGGAUGUUGGCGUAAUGGUUGUCAGCGACCCGUCUUGAAACACGGACCAAGGAGUCUAACAUCUAUGCGAGUGUUUGGGUGUCAAACCCGGAACGCGAAAUGAAAGUGAACGGAGGUAGGAAGCUUCGGCUGCACUAUCGACCGAUCCUGAAGUUUACGGAUGGAUUUGAGUAAGAGCAUAGCUGUUGGGACCCGAAAGAUGGUGAACUAUGCCUGAAUAGGGUGAAGCCAGAGGAAACUCUGGUGGAGGCUCGCAGCGGUUCUGACGUGCAAAUCGAUCGUCAAAUUUGGGUAUAGGG
Molecule: ribosomal RNA, 766 nt
Filed under: Cladophialophora brasiliensis
Lineage: Eukaryota; Fungi; Ascomycota; Eurotiomycetes; Chaetothyriales; Herpotrichiellaceae
Description: Fonsecaea brasiliensis eukaryotic LSU rRNA
Rfam family: Eukaryotic large subunit ribosomal RNA
Source: RNAcentral